UGCCUGCGGAGGCCUAACCAUGCAGUCGAACGGCAGCACAGAAGAGCUUGCUCUUUGGGUGGCGAGUGGCGGACGGGUGAGUAAUGUCUGGGAAACUGCCCGAUGGAGGGGGAUAACUACUGGAAACGGUAGCUAAUACCGCAUAACGUCGCAAGACCAAAGUGGGGGACCUUCGGGCCUCACACCAUCGGAUGUGCCCAGAUGGGAUUAGCUAGUAGGUGGGGUAAUGGCUCACCUAGGCGACGAUCCCUAGCUGGUCUGAGAGGAUGACCAGCCACACUGGAACUGAGACACGGUCCAGACUCCUACGGGAGGCAGCAGUGGGGAAUAUUGCACAAUGGGCGCAAGCCUGAUGCAGCCAUGCCGCGUGUAUGAAGAAGGCCUUCGGGUUGUAAAGUACUUUCAGCGGGGAGGAAGGCGGUGAGGUUAAUAACCUUGCCGAUUGACGUUACCCGCAGAAGAAGCACCGGCUAACUCCGUGCCAGCAGCCGCGGUAAUACGGAGGGUGCAAGCGUUAAUCGGAAUUACUGGGCGUAAAGCGCACGCAGGCGGUCUGUUAAGUCAGAUGUGAAAUCCCCGGGCUUAACCUGGGAACUGCAUUUGAAACUGGCAGGCUUGAGUCUCGUAGAGGGGGGUAGAAUUCCAGGUGUAGCGGUGAAAUGCGUAGAGAUCUGGAGGAAUACCGGUGGCGAAGGCGGCCCCCUGGACGAAGACUGACGCUCAGGUGCGAAAGCGUGGGGAGCAAACAGGAUUAGUCCUGUUUGUUAACAACAA
This 774-nucleotide ribosomal RNA is filed under the name Pantoea agglomerans. RNAcentral's name for it is "bacterial SSU rRNA". It matches the Rfam family "Bacterial small subunit ribosomal RNA", at positions 34 to 805 of the family's 1533-position model. The record is from RNAcentral. Lineage: Bacteria; Pseudomonadati; Pseudomonadota; Gammaproteobacteria; Enterobacterales; Erwiniaceae.